RNAcentral lists this ribosomal RNA (492 nucleotides) under uncultured bacterium. Its description in RNAcentral is "partial 16S ribosomal RNA". It matches the Rfam family "Bacterial small subunit ribosomal RNA", at positions 29 to 507 of the family's 1533-position model. The record is from RNAcentral.
AGUGAACGCUGGCGGUAGGCCUAACACAUGCAAGUCGAACGGCAGCACAGUAAGAGCUUGCUCUUACGGGUGGCGAGUGGCGGACGGGUGAGGAAUACAUCGGAAUCUACUUUUUCGUGGGGGAUAACGUAGGGAAACUUACGCUAAUACCGCAUACGACCUACGGGUGAAAGCAGGGGAUCUUCGGACCUUGCGCGAUUGAAUGAGCCGAUGUCGGAUUAGCUAGUUGGCGGGGUAAAGGCCCACCAAGGCGACGACCCGUAGCUGGUCUGAGAGGAUGAUCGGCCACACUGGAACGGAGACACGGUCCAGACGCCUACGGGAGGCAGCAGUGGGGAAUAUUGGACAAUGGGCGCAAGCCUGAUCCAGCCAGACCGCGUGGGUGAAGAAGGCCUUCGGGUUGUAAAGACCUUUUUUUGGGAAAGAAAAGCAGCAGGUUAAUACCCCGCGGUUCUGACGGUACCCGAAGAAUAAGCACCGGCUAACUUCGUG